GAUGAACGCUGGCAGCAUGCUUAACACAUGCAAGUCUUUGGCGAAUCUGUGCUUGCACCGGUUAGCCAAGGCGGACGGGUGAGUAACGCGUAAAGAACUUGCCCUGCAGACAGGGAUAACAGAAGGAAACGACUGAUAACACCUGAUACAAUUACCGGCGCGCCUGUGCGUGGCAAUGAAAAGAGAUGCUGCAGGAGAGCUUUGCGUACUGUUAGCCUGUUGGUGAGGUGACGGCUCACCAAGGGGAUGAUAGGUAGCCGGCCUGAGAGGGGGAACGGCCACAAGGCGAAUGAGAGACGGCCGUUACUCCUACGGGAGGAAGCAGUGGGGAAUAUUGGACAGUGGGGGCAACCCUGAUCCAGCAAUUCUGUGUGCACGAAGAAGGUUUUCGGAUUGUAAAGUGCUUUCAGCAGGGAAGAAGAAAGUGACGGUACCUGCAGAAGAAGCGACGGCUAAAUACGUG
This 463-nucleotide ribosomal RNA is filed under the name uncultured bacterium. RNAcentral describes it as "partial 16S ribosomal RNA". It matches the Rfam family "Bacterial small subunit ribosomal RNA", at positions 28 to 507 of the family's 1533-position model. The record is from RNAcentral.